RNAcentral lists this ribosomal RNA (446 nucleotides) under uncultured bacterium. Its description in RNAcentral is "partial 16S ribosomal RNA". It matches the Rfam family "Bacterial small subunit ribosomal RNA", at positions 354 to 797 of the family's 1533-position model. The record is from RNAcentral.
GUAGGGAAUAUUGGGCAAUGGAUGCAAGUCUGACCCAGCCAUCCCGCGUGCCGGAAGAAGGCCCUCAGGGUUGUAAACGGCUUUUGACGGUGAAGAAUCGACAGGAUGCGUCCUGUUUUGACGGUAGCCGUUGAAUAAGCACCGGCUAACUCCGUGCCAGCAGCCGCGGUAAUACGGAGGGUGCGAGCGUUGUCCGGAUUUAUUGGGUUUAAAGGGUGCGUAGGCUGGAAGGUCAGUCAGCGGUGAAAAGCUGUCGCUUAACGAUAGUCUUGCCGCAGAUACUGCCUUUCUUGGAUGAGGAGGAGGCCACUGGAACGGAUGGUGUAGCGGUGAAAUGCAUAGAUAUCAUCCAGAACACCGAUUGCGAAGGCAGGUGGCUGUACCUUAAUCGACGCUGAUGCACGAAAGCAUGGGGAGCAAACAGGAUUAGAUACCCUAGUAGUCCC